This 669-nucleotide ribosomal RNA is filed under the name Slooffia tsugae. RNAcentral's name for it is "eukaryotic LSU rRNA". The stretch from base 214 to 367 matches the Rfam family "5.8S ribosomal RNA". The record is from RNAcentral. Lineage: Eukaryota; Fungi; Basidiomycota; Microbotryomycetes; Chrysozymaceae.
UCCGUAGGUGAACCUGCGGGAGGGUCAUUAAUGAAUAUUAGGGCGCCUUUACUUAACCGUAUUGGGCCUGACCUCCAUUAUUCACACUUGUGCACCAAAACCAAUGUUGCAACGGCGAAAAGAGGGCUUUUCGCGAAGUCUUCAAAGUAGUUAUUGCUUCAUUUUACUAUUAUACUCUAAGUCAAUGAAUGUAAUUAAACCAUAACAAAAUAAAACUUUCAACAACGGGUCUCUUGGCUCUCGCAUCGAUGAAGAACGCAGCGAAAUGUGAUAAGUAAUGUGAAUUGCAGAAUUCAGUGAAUCAUCGAAUCUUUGAACGCACCUUGCGCUCUCUGGUAUUCCGGGGAGCAUGUCUGUUUGAGUGUCAUGAACUCUUCAACCCACCGGUUCCUGGUUGGGUCGAGUUGGUGUUUGGGUCUUGAAUGUUGCUGGCUUGAUUUCUUAGGGAGUGAAAGCGUAGCUCGUUCGUAAUACAUUAGCAUCUCAAUUUCUGAACUUCGGGUUGACUCAGCGUUAUAGACUAUUCGCUGAGGGCACAAGUAACAUUGUGGCCGAGUUGAAAGAUAACUAGAAGCUUCUAAUCCCUUACUAGUCAAAACUAUAAGAUUAGACCUCAGAUCAGGCAGGGUUACCCGCUGAACUUAAGCAUAUCAAUAAGCGGGGGGAAAG